AGUGAACGCUGGCGGUAUGCCUAACACAUGCAAGUCGAACGGCAGCACAGUAAGUGCUUGCUCUUACGGGUGGCGAGUGGCGGACGGUUGAGGAAUACAUCGGAUUCUACUUUUUCGUGGGGGAUAACGUAGGGAAACUUCCUCUAAUACCGGAUACGACCUCCGUGGGUAAGCAGGGGAUCUUCGGACCUUUCGCGAGUGAAUGAGCCGAUGUCGGAUUAGCUAGUUGGCGGGGUAAAGGCGCACCACGGCGACGAUCGGUAGCUGGUCUGAGAGGGUGAACAGACACAUGGGAAGUGAGACAGGGCACAGACACCGGCGGGAGGCAGCAGUCGGGAAUAUUGGGCGAGGCGGGAAAGCCGGAUACUGCAAUACCGCGUGAGUGAAGAACGCGCUAGGGUGGUAAAGUCAUGUUGUUGUGAAAGAAAAACAGCUGGUUAAUCCCGCGCUGUAAUGACGGUACCGAAAGAAUAAGCUCCGGCUAACUUCGUG
RNAcentral lists this ribosomal RNA (492 nucleotides) under uncultured bacterium. Its description in RNAcentral is "partial 16S ribosomal RNA". It matches the Rfam family "Bacterial small subunit ribosomal RNA", at positions 29 to 507 of the family's 1533-position model. The record is from RNAcentral.